Capsicum annuum is the source of this 684-nucleotide long non-coding RNA. RefSeq lists it as uncharacterized. The transcript has 4 exons. The record is from RefSeq and is a predicted model, not a curated record. NCBI's taxonomy places the organism in Eukaryota, Viridiplantae, Streptophyta, Magnoliopsida, Solanales, Solanaceae.
ACUUGCGCAUAGCUUCCUCAUUCUUCCUACUUUGAAGAUUAUGUUUAUCCAAUUUUUAUAGUCAUUGUUGCUGAAAAUGACGGCAUCUUCCAUGCACCCAUUCAAAUCUUCAACAACAAGAAGAAGGAAAGUGUAGGCUUUUUUCCAGCAUUGGUGGAGGAAUCAGAGCCCCAAAAUUCAAAGCACAAUUAGACAGCUUGUCAACUCGGGUCAACUUGAGUUCAUAAAGAGAGGUUGGUGCAUGCAUGAUGAGGCAACAACUCAUUAUAUUGACAUGAUAGAUCAGAAAACUCCAAGGCACAGAUACAUUAAACAGCAGUUCCAUGUUACUGCUAGAAUUAGCUGACAAAUCAAAUCUUUUGGACAUUCUGCUAUUCAGGCAUUCUAUCUGAGAAUAGAGGUGUCAAUCUAUCUAGCAAUUUUAAUUCGGAAGUUUGAAUAAUAACUCUUUUUUGGUUCAUUAAUUAGCAAGGGACUCGCCUCUAAAAUAUGAGAAAUUAAAAAUAUUUUGCCGAUGAUUUAGCUAAAAUCCAAACACAUUUAAGCAACUAUGUUGGCCUCAUACAUUUUACUACUUUAGGUUGGAUUCGACUCUCUUUUCUUUGGAUACAUUGACUAUCGAACCAGAGAAAAAAAAUAGAGAAGUGUCUUAAGAUCAUUUGGAGGGGUUCUAAGAGUCAUAGU